This 602-nucleotide long non-coding RNA is filed under the name Brassica napus (rape). RNAcentral describes it as "long non-coding RNA (BNAP_LNC011828)". The record is from RNAcentral. Lineage: Eukaryota; Viridiplantae; Streptophyta; Magnoliopsida; Brassicales; Brassicaceae.
CUCGCCAGGGUAAUCUUGUAAAUAGGUGAAGACUUGGGCUCUACGUCGUCUGAGACCAAACGGGCUUUUUGCGCUUUUCGGUGUCGAUCGAUGUCACCAUGUGAACAUCGAUCGAUUAAUCUUCCUCAAUGUCGACCGAUGGUCAUCUCGGGUGCUUACUCCAAAUAUCAUCACUUUCCUCCAAAUCACUUCUGAUCCUAUAAAUAUGCUAAAUAGGCUCUAUAAUAUAAUAAUUAGUAGUAAAAACACUUAUAAACCAUGGGUAAAAGUGCGUCAAAUCUAUGGUCUAUCACUGAGGCCUGAGCCUCUGCCCAAAGUAAAGAUUCAGUCUUGCACAUAUAUCUCCCUAUAUAUUGAAAUCUUCUUGGUAUAUCCAAGAAUAAUUCUCAUCUUGUAUGUAAUGUUUAGUGCAUUGACUAAAAAAAGGGAGAAUUGGGAAAAAGAGACACUUUCAACUUUGAUUUGUCUCAAUAAGAUUUUUUGAAGAUUUUUUGGAAAACUAGGAUUUUAUUUCUUGUUAAUAUCAUAAUGCCCUUGUAAUUAACCAAAUAAUAUGAAUUUUAAAUAUAAAUUAUAAUUUUCGUAAUUGAUUUAAUAUUAAU